RNAcentral lists this ribosomal RNA (497 nucleotides) under uncultured bacterium. RNAcentral describes it as "partial 16S ribosomal RNA". It matches the Rfam family "Bacterial small subunit ribosomal RNA", at positions 28 to 507 of the family's 1533-position model. The record is from RNAcentral.
GAUGAACGCUGGCGGCGUGCCUAAUACAUGCAAGUCGAGCGAACAGACGAGGAGCUUGCUCCUCUGACGUUAGCGGCGGACGGGUGAGUAACACGUGGAUAACCUACCUAUAAGACUGGGAUAACUUCGGGAAACCGGAGCUAAUACCGGAUAAUAUAUUGAACCGCAUGGUUCAAUAGUGAAAGACGGUUUUGCUGUCACUUAUAGAUGGAUCCGCGCCGCAUUAGCUAGUUGGUAAGGUAACGGCUUACCAAGGCAACGAUGCGUAGCCGACCUGAGAGGGUGAUCGGCCACACUGGAACUGAGACACGGUCCAGACUCCUACGGGAGGCAGCAGUAGGGAAUCUUCCGCAAUGGGCGAAAGCCUGACGGAGCAACGCCGCGUGAGUGAUGAAGGUCUCCGGAUCGUAAAACUCUGUUAUUAGGGAAGAACAAAUGUGUAAGUAACUAUGCACGUCUUGACGGUACCUAAUCAGAAAGCCACGGCUAACUACGUG